AGAGUUUGAUCAUGGCUCAGGAUGAACGCUAGCGGCAGGCUUAAUACAUGCAAGUCGAACGGUAAAUAUUUCAGCAAUGGAAUAUGAGAGUGACGCACGGGUGCGUAACACGUAUGCAACCUACCCUUUACAGGAGUAUAGCUCGGGGAAACUCGAAUUAACACUUCAUAGUAUGAUUGAAUGGCAUCAUUUGAUUAUUAAAUCUGAGGAGGUAAAGGAUGGGCAUGCGUCUGAUUAGCUAGUUGGUAGUGUAACGGACUACCAAGGCGAUGAUCAGUAGGGGAACUGAGAGGUUGAUCCCCCACACUGGCACUGAGAUACGGGCCAGACUCCUACGGGAGGCAGCAGUAGGGAAUAUUGGUCAAUGGGUGAGAGCCUGAACCAGCCAUGCCGCGUGCAGGAAGACGGCCUUCUGGGUUGUAAACUGCUUUUGUCAGGGGAUAAAAUUUCCAUGCGUGGAAAAUUGAAGGUACCUGGCGAAUAAGCCACGGCUAACUACGUGCCAGCAGCCGCGGUAAUACGUAGGUGGCAAGCGUUGUCCGGAUUUAUUGGGUUUAAAGGGUGCGUAGGCGGCCUAUUAAGUCAGUGCUGAAAUAUUCCGGCUUAACCGGGAGGGUGGCAUUGAUACUGAUGGGCUAGAGUACAGAUGAGGUAGGCGGAAUUGACGGUGUAGCGGUGAAAUGCUUAGAUAUCGUCAAGAACACCUAUAGCGAAGGCAGCUUACUAGGCUGUAACUGACGCUGAGGCACGAAAGUGUGGGGAUCAAACAGGAUUAGAUACCCUGGUAGUCCACACUGUAAACGUUGAUUACUCGCUGUGUG
Molecule: ribosomal RNA, 821 nt
Filed under: Chryseolinea sp.
Lineage: Bacteria; Pseudomonadati; Bacteroidota; Cytophagia; Cytophagales; Fulvivirgaceae
Description: bacterial SSU rRNA
Rfam family: Bacterial small subunit ribosomal RNA
Source: RNAcentral